UCACUAUAGCUCAUUAGGUAGAGCAGUUGACUCAUAAUCAAUUGGUAGCCAGUUCGAUUCUGGCUAGUGAACCU
This 74-nucleotide transfer RNA is filed under the name Leucothrix arctica. Its description in RNAcentral is "Leucothrix sp. IMCC9719 tRNA-Met". It matches the Rfam family "tRNA". From Rfam's summary of the family: Transfer RNA (tRNA) molecules are approximately 80 nucleotides in length. Lineage: Bacteria; Pseudomonadati; Pseudomonadota; Gammaproteobacteria; Thiotrichales; Thiotrichaceae. The record is from RNAcentral.